Molecule: long non-coding RNA, 1087 nt
Organism: Acinonyx jubatus (cheetah)
Lineage: Eukaryota; Metazoa; Chordata; Mammalia; Carnivora; Felidae
Exons: 2
Source: RefSeq, a predicted model, not a curated record
CACAGAUGUAGAUUCCCAGGCUUUCCUGCGGGAAGUCCCCUCGGGAUCCCCGUUCCUACCCUGCUACCUGAUAUCCAGUCCCACUCUGCUCUCUUGUCCGUCUUUCUGGAUGCCCAUUCUCUGGAACCACAGAGGAGGCCAGAAUGGCCAACCCCAACCCACAAGCUCGGAAAUGGCUGCCACAUCCUGUCCUGCGCUCCCUGUCCCUCAUCUCACCUUCUAUUUCUUGUCCUCAGACUCAGACCCAGGUGUCCACUGUCCAUAUUGUGGGUCCGGAGGUCCCCUGAGCUCAGAGGUAUGCUCCUGCGUGCUCAGCCCAGGAUGGAGGAAAGGAGACCUGGGAAGCAGCAUGGCCAGUGUAUUUCUGGAGGGCACUCAGAUCCAAGGAUGGAGGCAGAAAGCCAGGCCGAGCAGGGCCACGGGCACGCCGCGCGCUCCCAGGAACAACCCCAGGCCCAGAAGCAGCAGCAGCAGGGCCUCGUGGGGGCUGAGUCUUCCUGCGACCACCGCCGCCGUAGGUAGGAGGACAGCCUCCCGCUGUCCCGGACCCUCACCGGCCCCCUGACUCCGGCCUCCUGUGAGAAGUGUGUGCUGUGGCCGGGGGGCGUCUGCGGGCCUGUGGAGAGAGCAGGUGGCCUCUGGGCUUCUAGAAGGUGACCACUUACCCGCCUGCCAGGCUGCAGCGCACUUACCAGUGGAGAAGGUCGAAGGCCAGGAAACUGACCAGGAGCAGCAGCAGCAAGGCUGGGCCAGCCGUGGAAAAGACUGUCCGAAUCGUCAGCCCCAGUGCCCCCAGCCCUAGGACACUGUCGAGGAGCUGGGCCAGAAAGCUGCCAGAGGAUGUGCUUCAGCAAAAUCAGGCAUUAAACCGCAAGGACAAUACGAGACUAAAGAAAUGAGGCUAAGUACAGGAAAGCAAUGAUGAGAAAGGCUCAGGAUGUCAGCUGUGCUUCCCAGUGAAGAAAGCAAACAACCCAGCCUGGACUCAAAAGCAAGAUGCUCCGGGAGGCAUGUCUCCAGAAGAAAAUGAGAUCGAUUAUCUGCGGGUUUUAGAUAUGUUAAAAAUAAAUGUUCAGUUCCGCUGGUU